AAUAUAUAAAACUAUGUAGUUUUGUGUUUCUCUCAUUUCACACGCAGAGGCAGACUGUAUAGCUUCAUCAAAGCUUUCCGUUUCUCUCUCUUGCACCAUUGUCCAACUGCAAAGGAACACCAUCUAACUCGUAGCACCGUCCAUGAAUUCCAGGUUGCAGGUUCAUGUACUGUUCAUCUAUGGCUUCUAAAGCUGAAGAGAUGCCACUGCAAAUGAUGUACCAAUUGAUAUUUUCGACGUGAAAGGUUAUCCAACAUUGUACUUCAGGUCAGCAGGUGGAAAUCUAUUGCAGUACAAUGGGGAACUUACCAAAGAGGAUACAAUUGACUUUAUUCAGAAGAAUCGGGAUAAACUUGCCCAGCAGGAACUUGGAAAAGAUGAGUUAAUUUUGUUUAUCAUUUAAGGUAGUAGUGUCAAACUGUAAUCAACAAAAUGUAACAUGCACUGGCCUGCUGUGAAUUGGGGCAGCUGUGUGGACUGGUUAUUUGGUCAAAUUUCUGGCCACUCCUUGGCCACUACUGUGAAGAAAUUGAUGUUUACUUGUGCUGUCUAUUGUAUCUGGCAGGAGAGAAACUAUAGGAUUUUCUCAUUUUCCCCAUUUUCCCUUUGUUUGCAAUGCUAUGCUGGUACUUAGUUAGGGAUGCUGUAGGUUGAGUGAUUGUGAGCCACCUCAGUUAGGAGUAUUGAUUGAGAUUCUUGAGAGUUGAAAGUAAGUGUUGAGAGAUGUGAGACCUCUAUAUUCAUGUAUUCUUGUUCAUUAUCUUGCUUUGCAGGUUGUCAAGCUGGUCUCAUGUAGGGAGGAGGGUUGAGAUGUUUUGUGGAUCUUGUAAUCGAGUUUGAUCUUAAGGUGGCUCUUCUCAAAGGUCUUAGACAGGAAUUGACAAGAAUUGAUGAGCAGGUAUCUUCUACACAUUGAUAUAUAUAUAUAUAUAUAUACACACGCAUGUACACAAUCACACACGUGGAUGAGGUUAAGGGUGAACCAACUGAAAACCCAUAAUGGUCUUAACAGGUUGAGAGUGAACCUACUGAAAACCUGGAUAUGUUAUAUUUUUUGUAAGGGUGAAUUUCGAUAGUUUUUGUUUUCAAAUGGCAGUUAUGAUAGUAGAUUGACAAAAGGAAAAUGGUAAAUUGAUUGCAGUUAUGAUGAACAUCUAUAACUAUGUUUGUGUUUGUGAGCUAUUUUCAUUGAAGUCUGAAGUAGUUAGUCUCAAUUGUUCUCAUUGAUGUGUGUUGUAAUAUAUGUCUUUGUUGUGGGAUUCACAUUUGUUAUGAGUCUAAGUUAAUGCAUCCAUUGAAUUUUUGAACUUUUCAAAACUUUGGUUGUGUAGGUCAUAACUGAGGAGAUGGAAGUUAUUUUUCAAUGAUAGGGAAUACUAAACCAAAAAAAAAAGAUGGGGAAUAUUUUUUGUUAUAAUUGCUUUAAAUUCUUUUUGUGAAAAGAACAAAAGCAAAAACAAACUUUGUAUUUAUGGUUAGUAGAUUCUUGUGAAAUGAAAAUGACACCAUAUUCUGGUUCAAAUGAUGUUGAGUGGUUCCAUGCUAUGGAUACCUCCUUGUAGUGGCAGGGUGACAAGAAGAGAAAAAAAAAGAAAAAAAGCAGGCAUCUAUGUAGGUGCAUGGUUUUAAAAUUUGAUGUCUAGUCAUGUUAAGUGGGCCAAAGUUGUUCUCAGAUAGGUGCCUAUAUUGAACAAGAAGAUGGCCAAACUACUGAAGGUUCCCAGAGUGUGGUUCAUAUUUGUGCCUUCCCAUUAUUAUCAUAUACCAAAAUUUCCUUGUUGUUUUUGUCAGUUCCUCUUAUAUGAUAUGCUGUCUCGAAAUUUGUAGUUUCUAUAAUUAUAAACUUUAUUGAGUACAUUGUGUAGCCAAGACACUGAAAAGAUUAGAGGAGAAGAGUUAGGGAUGGGUGACCAUUUUUUUGUGUGUAGAUGUUAAAUUAUAUGAUUAUGGUUUAGUUCUAGUGCUUUUUUAUGUACAUUCUUGAAUCUAAAUCCCUUAAUUUCUCCCUUGUAGGUUUUGAGCCAUUUGUUAUAUCUGAUGCGUAUAGUAGAGAAGACUGUUCAAAGACGAGUUGCUUUGGCUCUUGCCAACCUUUGUUCUGCAGAGGAUCUGAGAACAAUAUUCAUUGAUAACAAUGGAUUAAAGUUACUACUUGGUCUUCUUGGUUCCACGAACCUAAAGCAGCAACUUGAUGGUUCUAUAGCCUUGUACAAGUUGGCUAACAAAGCCAACAAAGCCAUGACUCUUUCUUCCAUUGAUGCUGCUCCUCCAUCUCUGACGCCACAGAUUGGAGAUUAGAUAUGGACAUGUUUGUUAAUCUGGAGAGCAGAAGCUUGCUCAUUUUGUGUUUGUGUUUUUGUUCAUUUUACCUUACAUGUAUUUUGGUUGCAUUGUAAAUUUUAUACUUGUGGGUAUUACAGGACAUGUUUGGUCAUCUGCACUUGAUAUUAUAUUUUUGUGGAUGUUAGUAGACAUGUUUUUUUGUGGAUAUUAGGAGACGUGUUUGGUAAUCCGCAUGCGGUUGAUAUUGUAUUUUUGUGGAUAUUAGUAGACAUGUUUUUUGUUGAUAUUAUGAGACAGGUUUGGUAAUCCGCAUGCAGUUGAUAUUGUAUUUUUGUUGAUAUUACGCUGAAAUUCGACUAUGGUGUUUAUGAAAA
This is a non-coding RNA of Camellia sinensis, 2657 nucleotides long. The record is from RefSeq and is a predicted model, not a curated record. Lineage: Eukaryota; Viridiplantae; Streptophyta; Magnoliopsida; Ericales; Theaceae.